This 253-nucleotide ribosomal RNA is filed under the name uncultured bacterium. RNAcentral's name for it is "partial 16S ribosomal RNA". It matches the Rfam family "Bacterial small subunit ribosomal RNA", at positions 524 to 776 of the family's 1533-position model. The record is from RNAcentral.
UACGGAGGAUCCAAGCGUUGUCCGGAUUUAUUGGGCGUAAAGAGCUUGUAGGCGGCUCGUCGCGUCGGGUGUGAAAACUUGCGGCUUAACCGCAAGCCUGCACCCGAUACGGGCGGGCUAGAGUUCGGCAGGGGAGACUGGAAUUCCUGGUGUAGCGGUGGAAUGCGCAGAUAUCAGGAGGAACACCGGUGGCGAAGGCGGGUCUCUGGGCCGAUACUGACGCUGAGAAGCGAAAGCGUGGGGAGCGAACAGG